CAGUCGCCGCGGGAAUACGUAGGUGGCAAGCGUUGUCCGGAAUUAUUGGGCGUAAAGCGCGCGCAGGUGGUUUAAUAAGUCUGAUGUGAAAGCCCACGGCUCAACCGUGGAGGGUCAUUGGAAACUGUUAAACUUGAGUGCAGGAGAGAAAAGUGGAAUUCCUAGUGUAGCGGUGAAAUGCGUAGAGAUUAGGAGGAACACCAGUGGCGAAGGCGGCUUUUUGGCCUGUAACUGACACUGAGGCGCGAAAGCGUGGGGAGCAAACAGGAUUAGAUACCCCAGUAGUCCCUGUCUCUUAUAU
RNAcentral lists this ribosomal RNA (301 nucleotides) under uncultured bacterium. Its description in RNAcentral is "partial 16S ribosomal RNA". It matches the Rfam family "Bacterial small subunit ribosomal RNA", at positions 509 to 809 of the family's 1533-position model. The record is from RNAcentral.